Molecule: non-coding RNA, 196 nt
Filed under: Lonsdalea quercina
Lineage: Bacteria; Pseudomonadati; Pseudomonadota; Gammaproteobacteria; Enterobacterales; Pectobacteriaceae
Description: Lysine sequence
Rfam family: Lysine riboswitch aptamer
About the family: Riboswitches are metabolite binding domains within certain messenger RNAs that serve as precision sensors for their corresponding targets. Allosteric rearrangement of mRNA structure is mediated by ligand binding, and this results in modulation of gene expression. This family includes riboswitches that sense lysine in a number of genes involved in lysine metabolism, including lysC.
Source: Rfam by way of RNAcentral
CAAGCCAGAAGAGGUGCGUCGCCCAGGUAAGGUGUCGGAGGAGCCGUUUUCCGAAGAAGAUACCCGAGGGGGAGCGUCGCCGAGGUGAGAUCAGCAACGGCAUUGAUUUCAUCGACCACAGGGGCUGAAUCCCUUGGGUUGUCACCGGCUCAUUCUGCACGCAGGAUGUUCAGCAAGGUGGAGCGCUUCUGGGUGU